RNAcentral lists this long non-coding RNA (481 nucleotides) under Apteryx owenii (little spotted kiwi). RNAcentral's name for it is "lncRNA (ENSAOWG00000005085.1)". Lineage: Eukaryota; Metazoa; Chordata; Aves; Apterygiformes; Apterygidae. The record is from RNAcentral.
AACAGCAGUAUUGAAACUCUGCUCUCCUCUUCUUGUGUUGCUCCACUUGCUGCAAAUCCAGUGCAAGCCAAAACAGCAGAACCCUGGACUGUGGAAGCAGCUUUUCAUAAUGGAUUUGUUUCUACUUUGAAAAUCUGGAAGUGGCUGUAGGAACUUCUGCAAUGUCCAUCCAGGAUGGACAAGUGGUGACGUGACACGAGUGGUUUAGAUGAAGUGCAAUUCGACUGACCUCAGUGGAGUUUGUUAUAACGCUGUACUGCCAAAGGCAACAUUCAGAUUACUGCCCUGAGCCAAAACCACAUAGCUUAAAAGUUAAGCUCCUCCUGCCUAGAGUGCAGCCAGAACAGAGGGCCAGCUUGUCCGAAGGCUGGAGGCUGGGACUGUGCUGAAUAUUUCAUACUUGGAGAGCCACUAUGUCAGGCACCACUUUGGCUAAAUUCAAUUAGUUGUAGUCCCAAAACAGUGGAAACCUGGCGGAAAG